CUACGAGGCGCCUAGUUUCGGCCUGUUGAGCUACGUUUCUACAUGGGAGUAUCGAGCUACGUUUCUACGUGGCGCCGAGUGUCGAGCUACGUUUCUACGUGGCGCCGAGUGUCGAGCUACGUAUGUACAAGGAGGUUUUUUUGCUGAUGUCGACUUCAACGAAGCUAUCGAAAGAAGUUUGGUAUAGUAUACCAGUGUACCCGGUCUUAGGAAGGAAGUGCGUACUCCCUUUUGGUCAGCAUACUCGAAUAUCCUGUCCAAGUACCAGUAGUAAAUGGGGAAACUUGGCAAAAGAUUUGAGAUAUUCGAGAUCUCGUGAUAUUGUUCCCCA
Macrobrachium nipponense is the source of this 331-nucleotide long non-coding RNA. RefSeq lists it as uncharacterized. Lineage: Eukaryota; Metazoa; Arthropoda; Malacostraca; Decapoda; Palaemonidae. The record is from RefSeq and is a predicted model, not a curated record. The transcript is spliced from 3 exons.